Molecule: long non-coding RNA, 435 nt
Organism: Engraulis encrasicolus (European anchovy)
Lineage: Eukaryota; Metazoa; Chordata; Actinopteri; Clupeiformes; Engraulidae
Exons: 3
Source: RefSeq, a predicted model, not a curated record
GAAAAGAGAAGAGAAGAGAGUGGAGGGCUCGAAAUGUGGCGUAGUCGAAAAGUUAACUUCCUGUUAAGAAAGGGCCACUCCGCCAGAAACAGUACCGCACUGAUGUCACUCACAGCGUUUCUCGUCUAGGAGGAAGACCGACCCAUUGAGGACUUAGGAAACAGAAAACAGAGAUACAAAAAGAUACAAAAAUACAGGACAAAAAAUACCAAGAGACGUAUGGUGGCUCGGCUGAGCUCUGAGCGCCGCUAGCGUUUGGACAUGGCGGGCCCCUCAACAACGACGGGCCUUCUGGCUCUCUCCAUCCUCCUGGCCCUGGCUACACUUGGAGUCACACAAGGUAAGUAUCACUGAAAACUAAUCUACUGUCACUUAAUCUGUUCUUGAAAUCCAUAUUUACUUCUUAGGAGUUCUCAAUGUCUGUAUUUCCUGUUC